RNAcentral lists this small nucleolar RNA (164 nucleotides) under Nelumbo nucifera (sacred lotus). RNAcentral's name for it is "small nucleolar RNA snoR143". It matches the Rfam family "small nucleolar RNA snoR143". The record is from Rfam by way of RNAcentral. Lineage: Eukaryota; Viridiplantae; Streptophyta; Magnoliopsida; Proteales; Nelumbonaceae.
CUGCACUUGUACUGUAGACCUUUCUAAUUCCAGUAGUGUGGCCUUGAGCUAGGGUGCACAAAGUAAAAGCUGUUCUGUUUCAGCAGCGGCCAGACAACCUGUAGAGAUGGAUCCACAGGUGAAUGGCUCAAAUGCCAUUUGUCUACUGAUUUCAUCUCACAAUU